UGAGGAAUAUUGGUCAAUGGGCGGGAGCCUGAACCAGCCAAGCCGCGUGAGGGAGGAGGGCCCUAUGGGUCGUAAACCUCUUUUGUCAGGGAACAAAAGCGAGUAUGUAUACUAGUCUGAGUGUACCUGAAGAAAAAGCAUCGGCUAACUCCGUGCCAGCAGCCGCGGUAAUACGGAGGAUGCGAGCGUUAUCCGGAUUUAUUGGGUUUAAAGGGUGCGUAGGCGGCGGUGCAAGUCAGCGGUAAAAGCCCGGGGCUCAACCCCGGCGAGCCGUUGAAACUGCAGUGCUAGAGAAGGCGAGAGGUACGCGGAAUGCGCAGUGUAGCGGUGAAAUGCUUAGAUAUUGCGCAGAACUCCGAUUGCGAAGGCAGCGUACUGGCGCCUGACUGACGCUGAGGCACGAAAGCGUGGGGAUCGAACAGGAUUAGAUACCC
RNAcentral lists this ribosomal RNA (434 nucleotides) under uncultured bacterium. Its description in RNAcentral is "bacterial SSU rRNA". It matches the Rfam family "Bacterial small subunit ribosomal RNA", at positions 355 to 787 of the family's 1533-position model. The record is from RNAcentral.